RNAcentral lists this long non-coding RNA (347 nucleotides) under Gossypium raimondii (Peruvian cotton). RNAcentral describes it as "long non-coding RNA (GRAI_LNC007663)". Lineage: Eukaryota; Viridiplantae; Streptophyta; Magnoliopsida; Malvales; Malvaceae. The record is from RNAcentral.
UGCAAAUAUGUCAGAAGGAAAAUAGUCAAUUGCAAGUAAAAGAAAGAAAGAACCGAAAAUACACAAAUGGUCAAUUUUAAAGUCAGUGCAAAAGAAAAAAAAGAACACUCCAGAAGAGAAAAAAAACUCCAAAAGACACAGAGGAAAAUUAGACAUCCAAACUUACCAAAAUGCCAAAAAAAUGCCACCAAAAGUCCCCCUAGCCAAAAAUGCACAAGCAAAACCUCCCCCAAACGGCACCACACUCCCACACUCUCCCACUUCCUUGAUUUUCUCCCCUUAUCUCUCCAUAAUCCACUCCACAAGUUACUCCUACAAUCUGUCCAUGACCCAUUCAAACCUCACCU